Molecule: ribosomal RNA, 468 nt
Filed under: uncultured bacterium
Lineage: Bacteria
Description: partial 16S ribosomal RNA
Rfam family: Bacterial small subunit ribosomal RNA
Source: RNAcentral
GACGAACGCUGGCGGCGUGCUUAACACAUGCAAGUCGAACGGAAAGGCCCUGCUUUUGUGGGGUGCUCGAGUGGCGAACGGGUGAGUAACACGUGAGUAACCUGCCCUUGACUUUGGGAUAACUUCAGGAAACUGGGGCUAAUACCGGAUAGGAGCUCCUGCUGCAUGGUGGGGGUUGGAAAGUUUCGGCGGUUGGGGAUGCACUCGCGGCUUAUCAGCUUGUUGGUGGGGUAGUGGCUUACCAAGGCUUUGACGGGUAGCCGGCCUGAGAGGGUGACCGGCCACAUUGGGACGGAGAUACGGCCCAGACUCCUACGGGAGGCAGCAGUGGGGAAUAUUGCACAAUGGGCGGAAGCCUGAUGCAGCAACGCCGCGUGCGGGAUGACGGCCUUCGGGUUGUAAACCGCUUUCGCCUGUGACGAAGCGUGAGUGACGGUAAUGGGUAAAGAAGCACCGGCUAACUACGUG